CCUACGGGAGGCAGCAGUGGGGAAUUUUGGACAAUGGACGCAAGUCUGAUCCAGCCAUUCCGCGUGCAGGACGAAGGCCUUCGGGUUGUAAACUGCUUUUGUACGGAACGAAAAAGCUCUUAUUAAUACUAGGAGUCCAUGACGGUACCGUAAGAAUAAGCACCGGCUAACUACGUGCCAGCAGCCGCGGUAAUACGUAGGGUGCAAGCGUUAAUCGGAAUUACUGGGCGUAAAGCGUGCGCAGGCGGUUAUAUAAGACAGAUGUGAAAUCCCCGAGCUUAACUUGGGAACUGCAUUUGUGACUGUAUAGCUAGAGUACGGCAGAGGGGGAUGGAAUUCCGCGUGUAGCAGUGAAAUGCGUAGAUAUGCGGAGGAACACCGAUGGCGAAGGCAAUCCCCUGGGCCUGUACUGACGCUCAUGCACGAAAGCGUGGGGAGCAAACAGGAUUAGAUACCCUGGUAGUCCACGCCCUAAACGAUGUCAACUGGUUGUUGGGUCUUCACUGACUCAGUAACGAAGCUAACGCGUGAAGUUGACCGCCUGGGGAGGUACGGCCGCGAGUAGAACGUACAAGAGAAGUUAGACGGCGUGAGACGUAGACCGACGGACGACGACGAGGGGAGGAGG
This 628-nucleotide ribosomal RNA is filed under the name uncultured bacterium. RNAcentral describes it as "bacterial SSU rRNA". The stretch from base 1 to 542 matches the Rfam family "Bacterial small subunit ribosomal RNA", at positions 338 to 873 of the family's 1533-position model. The record is from RNAcentral.